UCUUAUCAAGAGCAGGUGGAGGGACAAGCCCGAUGAAACCCGGCAACCGGCAGAUGCGCAGAACCGUUCUUGCAUGUUAAGGACGUAUCUGCGGCGCGCACGGUGCUAAUUCUUGCGGUAGCGGUCAGAAGACUGCUGCUGACAGAUGAGA
This 151-nucleotide non-coding RNA is filed under the name Paenibacillus thiaminolyticus. RNAcentral describes it as "SAM riboswitch (S box leader)". It matches the Rfam family "SAM riboswitch aptamer (S box leader)". Rfam says of the family: The SAM riboswitch is found upstream of a number of genes which code for proteins involved in methionine or cysteine biosynthesis in Gram-positive bacteria. The SAM riboswitch acts at the level of transcription termination control. The record is from RNAcentral. Lineage: Bacteria; Bacillati; Bacillota; Bacilli; Caryophanales; Paenibacillaceae.